Long non-coding RNA from Mirounga angustirostris (Northern elephant seal), 4326 nucleotides. RefSeq lists it as uncharacterized. The transcript has 5 exons. The record is from RefSeq and is a predicted model, not a curated record. NCBI's taxonomy places the organism in Eukaryota, Metazoa, Chordata, Mammalia, Carnivora, Phocidae.
GUCCCACAUCACUCUGAAUCCUUACCCUGCUUUCAUCAUGACUUUUACUGGAUAUUUUCUGUCUUCCUCAAUGAGAAUAAAGGCCUUGAACUUUAUACAGUUCUUUAUCCCCAGUGUGCAGCACAAAGGCUAGCACUAGAAGCUCAGUAAAUAUUGUUGCUUUUGUGCAUUCAUGAAUGAAUGAAAUGACUUGUCAAUGUCACACUCUGGGUGUUUGGCAGAGCCGGCCUUUGGAUCCAGUCUUGCCUAAUUCCAGACUCCAAGUUCUUAAAUACUUCUUACUCCUGAGGAAGAAGAGGAAGAAUAAGUUGACACUGGGGAAAGCUGGAGCAUAGAGGAUGUGAGAAAGACUUCACUUUCCUGAAGGUGAAACUAGGAAGAUGGUUUGGGACAGACCAGGAAGGAUCAGGAAGUCUUGAAAAGAAGCUCACAAUUUCCCCUGUGGACAUGGAGAGAAGGCUUGCAGCAUGGUGUUAAGAGCCCCUCUAAAUGCUAAUGACCAUCUUAAACACUGGAAACAUCUUGAAGGUUACAGUGAAAACACAAGAUCUGUAGCCAAGGAAACCUGGGUUUGAAUAGGAAUUCAAGCAUCUAAGUUAUAGACCUUGGGAAAGUGAGUUAAUCAAGCCCUACUCUAGAGAUGGGCCUCAAGUUUCUCACCUCUAAAAUAAGAAGUUUACAGUAAUAAUCUUGUGGGAUGGUGGUGAGUGUUAUAUGGGAUAGUGAAUAAAACACUUAUAUAUUAUAAAUUUUAAAAAUGUUACUUCUUUCCUUUUGCAUUAUAUAGAUUCACAUCAUUCUCUAACUCCAAUUCCCAAGUAACACACAAUCAAGUGGAUUUCAAUAAUUUAAUAAAUAUUUGAAGAAAAAAAGAAAGAAAGAAAGAAAGAAAGAAAGAAAGAAAGAAAGAAAGAAAGAAAGAAAGAAAGAAAGAAAGAAGUAAAGAGGAAGGAGGGAGGGAAGGAAGGAAGGAAGGAAGGAAGGAAGGAAGGAAGGAAGGAAGGAAGGAAGGAAGAGACAGGCAGAGGGAAGAAGGGAGGAAGGAAGAGGAAGAAAAAUCUUUAUUAAGAACAGUUCUAAAAUGUGGUGGAGACAUUUUCCUUCUCUGAACGAUCUGAUAUUGUUCUAUCAGCAGAGAUUGGAAGCACUUGUAGUUAUCCUGACCUUGUCCUCUUUCCCCAGAAGUGACAUAGAGAUAUAAAAACUUCUUGUAACACUUCUGAUAAUAUCAUGAGAAAUUGGGGCGCCUGGGUGGCUCACUCAGGCAUCUGCAUUUGGCUCAGGUCAUGAUCUCGGGGUCCUGGGAUGGAGCCCCAUGUAGGGCUCACUGCUCAGCGGGGAGCCUGCUUCUCCCUCUCCCUCUGCCCCUCCCCCCCACUCGUGCUCACGUUCUGUCUCUUUCUCUCUCAAAUAAAUAAAAUCUUUAAAAUAAUAUCAUGAAAAAUUGGUCAUUGGUUCACGAAGCAGAACCUCCUGCUUGAAAGACUUGUAGUUCUGUUUGCUUUUAUCAUGCAUUCAUCACUGGAAUUGUUACAGAAAUAUACUUUAGGGCCACUGAUCUCCUUUCUACACACAAUUAUACAUUUAUUUUUCAGACAAAUAAUCAGCUAUCUAAUGUAAACCUAAGAGACAGAGGAAUUUCCCAAUGCCCAGUCUAAGAUUGGUCUUAACUAAACUUUUCCUGUUUAUGCCACCUCCAGUUUCUGUUUCCAUCCUUGCCUAAGAGGAGAACAUCUACAGGUUUGGAUCGCCAUCUCCACCCUAAAGAAAGGCUAGUUUCUUUUAUUGUUUCAGAGUCUGAAAUGUGAAGUGUGAGAUUAUUAAGUACGUGGUGGGUGUUGUCAAAUGGAUCAUAUCAAUGCAGUUUCUCUAUUUCCUACCACCAUUAGUGUAUAGACAGAUACCCUGGGUAAUUAUAGGCAUUUAUAAUUAGGUUUUGAUGGGGAACUGUUUCAAGAAAAUGAUUUAUUCAGCUGUGAACCAGAUUAGUAACAGCCGGUUGUUGGCAAGAUCUCCCACUCUAACUGAAAACACAGCAAGAAGUGUUGAUACAAAGAGAACUUCAGAACUAUGCUGAAAGUUUCAUUAUUUUGCCAAAAACAAUUGCAUCACUUCCUUGGAACGUAAGUACAUGCCUUGUGAACCAUUAUUUAGCUUUUUUAAAAGUACGGGGGGUGGUUUGUAAAUAUAGGGAUGAAAUAAAAAAGAACAGCCAAUGGAAUUUAUUGGCACAACCUUUAAGUCAGGAUUGGAUUAACAAUAUGUGCAUCAGAAACAAAGGCCAAACAGUGUCAAUGUGAUCAUGGAUAGCCUUUAGAGGCCUCCAAAGUUCCAUCAUGAACUGGUGUCAACAGUUGGACCUUGACAUUAAAAGAGUAGGAGAAGCAGUUGACCCUUAACCCAAGAUGAGACUUUAAUUAGCUGAUAAAGGAGAGGUAUAAUUGCCUGUUAUGCUCUUUUGAAGGCAAAUCUACGUACAAGCACAAAAUUGUAAUUAAAAAUCUCCAAAUAAGCUAAUCUAGCUCAAGAAGGCAAUAGCUAGACUACUAUUACCCUCAGUAUUCACUAAUAGCAUCAUAUACCUAUUUAAAUGCCUCUUUCAAAUGACUUUGUACAUCCUUAAUUAUCCUCUUUUUUAAUUUUUUCUUCAGAGAUUUUAUUUAUUUAUUUAUUUUGAGAGAGAUUUCACGUGCAAGCAGGGGGGAAGGGCAGAGGCAGAGAGAGACUCUCAAGCGGACUCCACUCUGAGUGUGGAACCUGAUACUGGGCGAAUUUCAUGACCUUGAGAUCACGACCUGAGCCAAAAUCAAGAGUUGUACGCUCAACCAACUGAGCCACCCAGGUGGCCCUUAAUUACCCUCUUUCAAGUGGGUAGCAUCUAGCUUCUCUUAAAACUUCAACCUCUAGGAAUAUUCUUGCUGGCACCUGCAGGGGACAUCCCAUUGGUUCAGCAGCUGGCUGUUGCAAGGACUUGUUGAAUGCCAAGUCUAUGUCACACAACAGACACAGAGAUGAGAUACAUAUUCCCUGCCUUGGCCAUGCAAAGAAGAUGGGCAAAUAAGCCAGCGAGUUACAGCACAGACAGAGGUUUUAUCAUGAAGACUUCCUGAAAGAACUGAUACUUGAGCUGAAACUCAUGAGAGCAGCAGCAGCAUCACCCACUACCACCACGGCAGCAAUCAGCAAGAAUUUAUGGAGCACAUAUUACUGAUCAUACUUUGUCCAAUCUUGUAACAGAUUUACACCCCUCUGCUUUAUUCCUGCAUUUCUAUGAGUAGUCUCUUUUUGGUUUAAUCUUGUGUUUUUAAUGGCAUUGUGUUUUCUUGGUGUGUAAUAUUUUUUUUAAAGAUUUUAUUUAUUUAUUUGACAUACACAGAAAGAGUGCACAUGCACAAGCAGGGGUCGUGUCAGGGAGAGGGAGAAGAAGGUUCCCUGCUGAGCAGAGAUAACCCCCCUCCAACGUGGGGCUCAGUCCCAGGACCCUGGGAUCAUGCCUUGAGCCAAAGGCAGCCGCUUAACCGACUGAGCCACCUAGGCGCUCUUCUUGGUGUGUAAUUCCUUCUGCCCUUCCUGUGCCAUAGCAUUUCAGUGCUUAAGUUCUCAUGUUUUCUAUGUACACCUGUCAUUUAAAAAAUUAUUUUCUCAAGGUAAUGCUGCACAAAUAUUUCUUUUCCAUUUUCAAAGCAUUUAAAAGGAUUCAACAGUUAAGUUGUAAGUUAAAUCAAUAAACUAAUGAAAACUAUAAUCAGCAAUUACUAACUUUCAUUAAGAAAUCAAGUAAAGACUAUUGUUCAUUUACUAAGGCUCUGGUUUACUUGUUUCCAAAAAAGAGUACACUAUACUUUCCUCAAAGAAUUCAUAAGACGAAAAUUUUCUAUUGUCCUCAUAUGGGCAAAUUAUGUUCAUUUUAUUUCACAAGCUAUCCAUUUUCAGCAAUACCUUAAUUUAUCUCUAGGUAUAGAGUUAAAAUCCAGCUCUAUACUAAGGUAAGAAGAAAUGACAUAGCUAACUAAAAGACAAGUUAUUUUAUAUGCAGACUUAUAUUUAUCUCAUUUAUUCUUUUUCUAAAAGUAAUCAUCCCAUACUCAACAAAUAUUUACAGUUGUUUUCUUCAAGAAGUAUAAAAAAGACUCCCUUAUGCCACUCAAAUUUACAGACUAGACAAAAUGACAUAACACAGACUCUUAACUAUAGAGAAAAAACAUGGUUACCAGAGGGAGAGGUAGGAGGAGGGAUGGGUGAAAUAGGUGAUGGGGAUUAAGAGCACACUUAUCAUGAUGAGCAUUGAGUAAUGUAUAGCAUUGGUGAAUCACUAUAUUGUACACC